This 406-nucleotide ribosomal RNA is filed under the name uncultured bacterium. RNAcentral's name for it is "partial 16S ribosomal RNA". It matches the Rfam family "Bacterial small subunit ribosomal RNA", at positions 30 to 526 of the family's 1533-position model. The record is from RNAcentral.
AUUGAACGCUGGCGGCAGGCCUAACACAUGCAAGUCGGGCGAGCGGCGGCCGGGUGAGUACUGUAUGGGGAUCUGCCUGAUGGUGGGGGCCCACCACUGGAAGCGGUAGAUAAUACCGCAUACCAUCAGAUGAACCGAUAUGGGAUUAGCUUGCGGGUGAGGCAACGUCUUACCUAGGCGACGAUCCCGAGCUGGUCAGAGAGGAUGAGCAGCCACACUGGAACUGAGACAGGGCCCAGACUCCUAAGGGAGGGAGCAGUGGGGAAUAUUGCACAAUGGGCGCAAGCCUGAUACAGCCAUUCCGCGUGUAUGAAGAGGGCCUUCGGGUUGUAGAGUACUUUCAGUCGGGAGGCGUUACCGGCAGAAGAAGCCCCGGCUAACUACGUGCCAGCAGCCGCGGUAAUUC